Molecule: ribosomal RNA, 406 nt
Filed under: uncultured bacterium
Lineage: Bacteria
Description: partial 16S ribosomal RNA
Rfam family: Bacterial small subunit ribosomal RNA
Source: RNAcentral
AUUGAACGCUGGCGGCAGGCCUAACACAUGCAAGUCGAGCGAGAGGCGGACAGGUGAGUAAUGUCUGUGAGACUGCCUGCUGGAGGGGGGUAACUACUGGAGACGGUAGCUAAUAUCGCAUACCAUCAGAUGUGCCCCGAUGGGAUUAGCUAGUGGGUGGGGUAAUGGCUCACCUAGGCGACGAUCCCUAGCUGGUCUGAGAGGAUGACCAGCCACACUGGAACUGAGACACGGUCCAGACUCCUACGGGAGGCAGCAGUGGGGAAUAUUGCACAAUGGGCGAAAGCCUGAUGCAGCCAUGCCGCGUGUGUGAAGAAGGCCUUCGGGUUGUAAAGCACUUUCAGCGGGGAGGCGUUACCCGCAGAAGAAGCACCGGCUAACUCCGUGCCAGCAGCCGCGGUAAUAC